This 281-nucleotide ribosomal RNA is filed under the name Faecalibacterium prausnitzii. RNAcentral's name for it is "partial 16S ribosomal RNA". It matches the Rfam family "Bacterial small subunit ribosomal RNA", at positions 496 to 776 of the family's 1533-position model. Lineage: Bacteria; Bacillati; Bacillota; Clostridia; Eubacteriales; Oscillospiraceae. The record is from RNAcentral.
UAUGAAUGUGUGCCAGCAGCCGCGGUAAAACGUAGGUCACAAGCGUUGUCCGGAAUUACUGGGUGUAAAGGGAGCGCAGGCGGGCGAUCAAGUUGGAAGUGAAAUCCAUGGGCUCAACCCAUGAACUGCUUUCAAAACUGAUUGUCUUGAGUAGUGCAGAGGUAGGCGGAAUUCCCGGUGUAGCGGUGGAAUGCGUAGAUAUCGGGAGGAACACCAGUGGCGAAGGCGGCCUACUGGGCACCAACUGACGCUGAGGCUCGAAAGUGUGGGUAGCAAACAGG